This 253-nucleotide ribosomal RNA is filed under the name uncultured bacterium. Its description in RNAcentral is "partial 16S ribosomal RNA". It matches the Rfam family "Bacterial small subunit ribosomal RNA", at positions 524 to 776 of the family's 1533-position model. The record is from RNAcentral.
UACGGGGGGGGCAAGCGUUGUUCGGAAUUACUGGGCGUAAAGGGCGCGCAGGCGGCCUGCUAAGUCGGACGUGAAAUCCCCCGGCUCAACCGGGGAACUGCGUCCGAUACUGGUGGGCUCGAAUCCGGGAGAGGGAUGUGGAAUUCCAGGUGUAGCGGUGAAAUGCGUAGAUAUCUGGAGGAACACCGGUGGCGAAGGCGGCAUCCUGGACCGGCAUUGACGCUGAGGCGCGAAAGCCAGGGGAGCAAACGGG